CUGAGACACGGCCCAAACUCCUACGGGAGGCAGCAGUGGGGAAUAUUGCACAAUGGGGGAAACCCUGAUGCAGCGACGCCGCGUGAGUGAAGGAGUAUUUCGGUAUGUAAAGCUCUAUCAGCAGGGAAGAAAUACUGACCAUAGGGUCAGCAGACGGUACUUGACUAAGAAGCCCCGGCUAACUACGUGCCAGCAGCCGCGGUAAUACGUAGGGGGCAAGCGUUAUCCGGAUUUACUGGGUGUAAAGGGAGCGUAGACGGCAGCGCAAGUCUGAAGUGAAAUGCCAGGGCUUAACCCUGGAACUGCUUUGGAAACUGUGCAGCUAGAGUGCAGGAGAGGUAAGUGGAAUUUCUAGUGUAGCGGUGAAAUGCGUAGAUAUUAGGAGGAACACCAGUGGCGAAGGCGGCUUACUGGACUGUAACUGACGUUGAGGCUCGAAAGCGUGGGGAGCAAACAGGAUUAGAUACCCUGGUAGUCCACGCUGUAAACGAUGAUUACUAGGUGUUGG
This 508-nucleotide ribosomal RNA is filed under the name uncultured bacterium. Its description in RNAcentral is "bacterial SSU rRNA". It matches the Rfam family "Bacterial small subunit ribosomal RNA", at positions 319 to 826 of the family's 1533-position model. The record is from RNAcentral.